This 261-nucleotide ribosomal RNA is filed under the name uncultured bacterium. Its description in RNAcentral is "partial 16S ribosomal RNA". It matches the Rfam family "Bacterial small subunit ribosomal RNA", at positions 524 to 781 of the family's 1533-position model. The record is from RNAcentral.
UACGAAGGGGGCUAGCGUUGUUCGGAAUCACUGGGCGUAAAGCGCACGCAGGCGGAUUGAUAAGUCAGGGGUGAAAUCCCGAGGCUCAACCUCGGAAUUGCCUUUGAUACUGUCUAUCUUCGAGUUCGGGAGAGGUUGGCGGAAUUCCUAGUGUAGAGGUGAAAUUCGUAGAUAUUAGGAAGAACACCAGUGGCGAAGACGGCCAACUGGCCCCGAUACUGACGCUCAUGUGCGAAAGCGUGGGGAGCAAACAGGAAUUAG